GAGGACGACUGAUGCCACGUUAACUACACCAGUUCUCGUCCGAUCACUGAAGGUAAGCUACGUCGGGCGUGGUCAGUCUGACUCGGAUGGGUGACCGUCUGAGAGGUCACGUGUUGUUGGUU
Molecule: ribosomal RNA, 122 nt
Filed under: Olea europaea subsp. europaea
Lineage: Eukaryota; Viridiplantae; Streptophyta; Magnoliopsida; Lamiales; Oleaceae
Source: RNAcentral